Molecule: signal recognition particle RNA, 258 nt
Filed under: Candidatus Melainabacteria bacterium
Lineage: Bacteria; Bacillati; Candidatus Melainabacteria
Description: signal recognition particle sRNA large type
Rfam family: Bacterial large signal recognition particle RNA
About the family: The signal recognition particle (SRP) is a universally conserved ribonucleoprotein involved in the co-translational targeting of proteins to membranes. Archaeal SRP consists of a 7S RNA and homologues of the eukaryotic SRP19 and SRP54 proteins.
Source: RNAcentral
CCGUGCUCCACGGGGAAUUUGCGGCUCCCUCGACUCGAACGCUUUAUGCGAGGUGCAGAGCCUGCUGUGAGGCUUGUAUUCUUGCAGUGGACAAGGGUAAAGUUGUUGAUAAUUUAAUAUACGGUGGCACAAACCGUUGAACCGUGUCAGGGUGGAAACACAGCAGCACUAAAACGUAAUUUGUGGGUGUCGUAUUUUUAAAUAGGAGAUUUUAUUCUUGAAAGUUGUAAGGGUAUUUGUCGAUAGGUAGAGGCACGG